This is a long non-coding RNA of Brassica napus (rape), 505 nucleotides long. RefSeq lists it as uncharacterized. The transcript is spliced from 2 exons. NCBI's taxonomy places the organism in Eukaryota, Viridiplantae, Streptophyta, Magnoliopsida, Brassicales, Brassicaceae. The record is from RefSeq and is a predicted model, not a curated record.
UGCAUGAUUCCGUAGCUUGCUGAGUGGACAGAGGUGGAAGUUGAAGAGAGAUUAAGCCGAAGAAGACGAAGGAGACAAAGAAAUUAAGCCUCAUCGUUCGUUGUUGUCUCUCUGUUUUUGGAUCUGAGAGAUGAAAGAGAGAAAGGAAAGUAAUGCAAGAGCAUGAUGAUGACGACGACGAUGAAUUAUAUAUAAGUUUAUGAGAUAGUGUUUUGGAAGAAGCAGGUUCCCCACUUACGUGGAUCAUUCCCUGGGCCCGGUUAGGCAGCGGUCCACUUCACCCGAGAGGUACUGUUCUUCUUUGUUGCAUUUAGAAAAAGAGUAAAAACCCCUGUUCGGGAAUGCGCUGGACCUAGCACAUAAACAAAAAAAUUGGGAUUAACCGAAAACUAUGCGGGACGGAAUUUUUAGAUUGUUUACUAUGUUAUAAAACAUGUUAAUCUUUAAUUGUGUAUAACAUUAAUACAUUUUCAUGUUUAAGAUUGUAUAAAACACACAAAUAGAA